UAUCCUUUCUCAUUGACAUGAUAUUCAACUGGUUUGGUAAACACUUUAUAUGCAGGCUGCCAUUGUAAAUUCACAAACUCUUGAAGAGGUUGCAAGGCUUGAGUAGGCUUUAAAGUCUGGCCAGCUUCCCACAUAUCUCAUCAUUGGUGAUGAUGAUACUAGCUCCAAGAAGGAUGAUGCUAAAGAAGAUAAAAUGGUUCCAGAUGGUGAGAAUCAAGCUAUAAUAGUGAGCAGAGAGAUAGUCUCACUGAACAAAAUGAUGGUCCUACAUAAAUGGAGCAGAAUCUGAAUAUUCUUCCAAUCCCCCAGCAAGCUCUUCUCAUGCUCCUUUACCUAGGGUCAAGACUUGAAGAAGAAGAUCAAAUAAUCUAGUCUUUACUUGAUGAUUUCCACCCCCAAGCAAUAGUUUUGAAGAUUAACAGCAUGCUUGGCCUUUAAAAAAAAAAAAAAAAAAAACAGCAUGCUUGGAGUUGGCGUUUCGCACAAAGCGCGUGCCCACGACUAGUCAGAUAAUAUUACAUCAACAUUCAACAUUGCAGCCAUCAGACCGUGCUAAUUCUACAAAGAUACAAGAUUUGAUUGAAAUUUUGAAGACUUCUAUGCUUAUGCAUUAAAGAUUAGAUGCUCUUGAGAGUGAAAGAGCUGACACUUCAUCAUCACCCUCAUCGUAACGGGAUUAAACUUGAUAUUUAUAUUUUUAAUGGAUUAUUAUAUUCUUGUUUAGGCACGAAUUUGGUAUUAAGUACAACAUUCUCAAUUGGUUGAACUAUGAAGUAUUACUAUUAUAUUACAAAUUAUAUUUUAUUUUAGUUUUAA
Molecule: long non-coding RNA, 816 nt
Organism: Ipomoea nil (Japanese morning glory)
Lineage: Eukaryota; Viridiplantae; Streptophyta; Magnoliopsida; Solanales; Convolvulaceae
Exons: 3
Source: RefSeq, a predicted model, not a curated record